This is a long non-coding RNA of Cucumis melo (muskmelon), 1329 nucleotides long. RefSeq lists it as uncharacterized. The record is from RefSeq and is a predicted model, not a curated record. NCBI's taxonomy places the organism in Eukaryota, Viridiplantae, Streptophyta, Magnoliopsida, Cucurbitales, Cucurbitaceae. The transcript is spliced from 4 exons.
CCAAAUUUCAUUUUUUCUAAAUACUCACAAAAAUCUCAAUCCACGCUGCUAGUAACCUACUCUUUCUCCUCUUUUCUUUGACUCUCUUCGAAGCCAACGACAGCAAGAACUCAACGCCGCUUCUAUUGACCAUCGUUCUGCCAUUCGUGACACUCCAAUGACUAGUUGUUUGCGGCUCCAACUUUCGACCUUUGUCGCUCACACCGUCUGGGGGCUUUCUUAGGGAAAAACAAAGGUUGAAGGUAAAGGAGAAGAUUGAAAAGUGUGUCAAAGAAAAAUUGGUGGAUUUUUCCGAUGUGCAGAAGUGGCUGCUAAAGUAAUCAUUCUUUAGUGUGGAUUUAAUGUAUAGGAAAGCAGAGGUGAAGAAUAUUACAACAGAUUUGAUAAAUAGAUGUGAUAGAUAACAUAAGUGAUGAAGAAGAGGAGGUUGACAGGAUGUAUAUCUCCAUACAACUUGUCUUGCGACAUUAGCAAAUAUGGCUCCUCAUGUCCACCGUUUGAGUUUAUAUGCAUCUCAGAGGCUGGUCAGCCUUUUUGAUAUGCUUUCAAGAAAGUAUGUCCUUAAUUACUUAUGUUGGUUGAUUUAGACCUUAUAACUGUUGUACUUGUAAAUUUAGCUUUGUUCUAAUUAACCUACCUCUUUUGUUAUUGAAUCUGUACAUUUCUGUAGUUUAUAUAUGCAUUAAUGCACCGGCAGCAAGUAUUAGCCAUUCAAGAAUCACCCGCGAUUUAUUCAACUUCUUGAGAACAUGUAGACUGUAUGCUUCUGAAUAUUUUAUCAGAUGCCCCCACAAGAGACUAUGCUUCAGAAUAUUUUAUUAUGUUCUUUUUUCAAUUUUAUCUCCCCUAUCUCUGUUAAUAUUCAUAUUUGACUUCUUACUUAUUUGGCUUUGUCAGUCAGUUGCAGGUACUUAUUCACUCGUUAAAACUGUGUAGGUAUUAGAUUUCUUCAAUAGCCGCAUAGAUGCUCAAUGAAUGGAUGAUGAUUGGUCAGUAGAGAAAGUGUUGCAAGUUAUCAUUGAUAACUGUAGAUCUUGGCGUGGGGAAGGCUUGAAGGUCUUGCACGAAUAUGAUCUACUUUAGUGAUGAAGCUACCAAGUUAUGCAAGAAUCCAUUGGAGUGGUGAAGCCAUGUUGGAGCAAAUGAUUGAUUUAUAAGACUUUUUGUAGGGUUGGUAGCAAAAUUUUGGUUGCAAUAUACUUAUAUUAAGCUUGUUGGUAUCAAAAGAUGUCUGUUUAUUCUAUCAUUGUAAACCCUUUACCAAUAAUUGUACAAAUAUUACAAAGUGUAUGUUAAAGUAUAUAUAUUCAAGUGUUGACUGUUUGUUUC